This 498-nucleotide ribosomal RNA is filed under the name uncultured bacterium. RNAcentral describes it as "bacterial SSU rRNA". It matches the Rfam family "Bacterial small subunit ribosomal RNA", at positions 899 to 1397 of the family's 1533-position model. The record is from RNAcentral.
ACUCAAAGGAAUAGACGGGGGCCCGCACAAGCGGAGGAACAUGUGGUUUAAUUCGAUGAUACGCGAGGAACCUUACCCGGGAUUGAAAUGGAGGGGAAAGGCGGUGAAAGCCGCCUGUCAGCAAUGACCCCUUUGUAGGUGCUGCAUGGUUGUCGUCAGCUCGUGCCGUGAGGUGUCGGCUUAAGUGCCAUAACGAGCGCAACCCUGAUUGUCAGUUGCUAGCAGGUCGUGCUGAGGACUCUGACAAGACUGCCGGCGUAAGCUGUGAGGAAGGUUGGGAUGACGUCAAAUCAGCACGGCCCUUACAUCCGGGGCGACACACGUGUUACAAUGGUGGGGACAGAGGGCAGCUACCGGGCGACCGGAUGCGAAUCUCCAAACCCCAUCUCAGUUCGGAUCGGAGUCUGCAACCCGACUCCGUGAAGCCGGAUUCGCUAGUAAUCGCGCAUCAGCCAUGGCGCGGUGAAUACGUUCCCGGGCCUUGUACACACCGCCCGU